This is a long non-coding RNA of Dendronephthya gigantea, 339 nucleotides long. RefSeq lists it as uncharacterized. Lineage: Eukaryota; Metazoa; Cnidaria; Anthozoa; Malacalcyonacea; Nephtheidae. The transcript has 3 exons. The record is from RefSeq and is a predicted model, not a curated record.
AUGUGGUAUCGAACGACCGGUACAUUUAUAAAGAAAGAAGCUCAAAUAAAACCCUCAUAUUAUGGCCGUUUGCUCACCUAAAGCAAACUUCGUGAAAAUCGACAAUAAGAUCGACAAUUGCAGUGAUGUUAGAUCGUUGGCAGCAAGUGUGGGAGUUAUAUACCUUGGAUUCCCCAAAUACUUUGAAAGUCACUGGUGUCUAGCUAUUUUGGGUAUGCAGAAAAUGCAAAAGUAAAAAAGAAAAACAAGACAAUGCAAGUGGUACUCGUUGUCAUCUGGAAAGAUAAGCAUCGUCGUAAACAAGUCAACCAAGGAUCAAUAACGUUCAGGCAAGUCAUU